GAUGAACGCUGGCGGCGUGCCUAAUACAUGCAAGUCGAGCGAACGGACGAGAAGCUUGCUUCUCUGAUGUUAGCGGCGGACGGGUGAGUAACACGUGGAUAACCUACCUAUAAGACUGGGAUAACUUCGGGAAACCGGAGCUAAUACCGGAUAAUAUUUUGAACCGCAUGGUUCAAAAGUGAAAGACGGUCUUGCUGUCACUUAUAGAUGGAUCCGCGCUGCAUUAGCUAGUUGGUAAGGUAACGGCUUACCAAGGCAACGAUGCAUAGCCGACCUGAGAGGGGGAUCGGCCACACUGGAACUGAGACACGGUCCAGACUCCUACGUGAGGCAGCAGUAGGGAAUCUUCCGCAAUGGGCGAAAGCCUGACGGAGCAACGCCGCGUGAGUGAUGAAGGUCUUCGGAUCGUAAAACUCUGUUAUUAGGGAAGAACAUAUGUGUAAGUAACUGUGCACAUCUUGACGGUACCUAAUCAGAAAGCCACGGCUAACUACGUG
Molecule: ribosomal RNA, 497 nt
Filed under: uncultured bacterium
Lineage: Bacteria
Description: partial 16S ribosomal RNA
Rfam family: Bacterial small subunit ribosomal RNA
Source: RNAcentral